UACGUAGGGUGCGAGCGUUGUCCGGAAUUAUUGGGCGUAAAGAGCUUGUAGGCGGUUUGUCGCGUCUGCUGUGAAAAUCCGGGGCUCAACCCCGGACUUGCAGUGGGUACGGGCAGACUAGAGUGUGGUAGGGGAGACUGGAAUUCCUGGUGUAGCGGUGGAAUGCGCAGAUAUCAGGAGGAACACCGGUGGCGAAGGCGGGUCUCUGGGCCGAUGCUGACGCUGAGGAGCGAAAGCGUGGGGAGCGAACAGG
Molecule: ribosomal RNA, 253 nt
Filed under: uncultured bacterium
Lineage: Bacteria
Description: partial 16S ribosomal RNA
Rfam family: Bacterial small subunit ribosomal RNA
Source: RNAcentral